GACGAGGGAUCCUAGCGUUGUUCGGAAUCAUUGGGCGUAAAGAGGGCGUAGGUGGCUUGGUAAGUCAGGUGUGAAAGCCCAGGGCUCAACCCUGGAAGUGCAUUUGAUACUGCUAAGCUUGAGUGUUGGAGAGGUUAUCGGAAUACCUGGUGUAGUGGUGAAAUACGUAGAUAUCGUAAGGAAGACCAGUGGCGAAGGCGGGUCUCUGGACAGUUCCUGACGCUGAGGCACGAAGGUCAGGGGAGCAAACGGG
Molecule: ribosomal RNA, 253 nt
Filed under: uncultured bacterium
Lineage: Bacteria
Description: partial 16S ribosomal RNA
Rfam family: Bacterial small subunit ribosomal RNA
Source: RNAcentral